This 449-nucleotide ribosomal RNA is filed under the name uncultured prokaryote. RNAcentral's name for it is "bacterial SSU rRNA". It matches the Rfam family "Bacterial small subunit ribosomal RNA", at positions 355 to 796 of the family's 1533-position model. The record is from RNAcentral.
UGGGGAAUAUUGCACAAUGGGGGAAACCCUGAUGCAGCCAUGCCGCGUGUGUGAAGAAGGCCCUAGGGUUGUAAAGCACUUUCAGCGAGGAGGAAAGGGUGUAGGUUAAUACCCUGCAUCUGUGACGUUACUCGCAGAAGAAGCACCGGCUAACUCCGUGCCAGCAGCCGCGGUAAUACGGAGGGUGCGAGCGUUAAUCGGAAUUACUGGGCGUAAAGCGUACGCAGGCGGUUGGUUAAGCGAGAUGUGAAAUCCCCAGGCUCAACCUGGGAACUGCAUUUCGAACUGGCCAACUAGAGUAUGAGAGAGGGUGGUAGAAUUUCAGGUGUAGCGGUGAAAUGCGUAGAGAUCUGAAGGAAUACCGAUGGCGAAGGCAGCCACCUGGUUCAAUACUGACGCUCAUGUACGAAAGCGUGGGGAGCAAACAGGAUUAGAUACCCGUGUAGUCC